UACAGGGGGGGCAAGCGUUGUUCGGAAUUACUGGGCGUAAAGGGCUCGUAGGUGGCCAACUAAGUCAGACGUGAAAUCCCUCGGCUUAACCGGGGAACUGCGCCUGAUACUGGAUGGCUUGAGUUCGGGAGAGGGAUGCGGAAUUCCAGGUGUAGCGGUGAAAUGCGUAGAUAUCUGGAGGAACACCGGUGGCGAAGGCGGGUCUCUGGACAGUUCCUGACACUGAGACACGAAGGCCAGGGGAGCAAACGGG
RNAcentral lists this ribosomal RNA (253 nucleotides) under uncultured bacterium. RNAcentral's name for it is "partial 16S ribosomal RNA". It matches the Rfam family "Bacterial small subunit ribosomal RNA", at positions 524 to 776 of the family's 1533-position model. The record is from RNAcentral.